This 394-nucleotide ribosomal RNA is filed under the name uncultured bacterium. RNAcentral's name for it is "bacterial SSU rRNA". It matches the Rfam family "Bacterial small subunit ribosomal RNA", at positions 28 to 428 of the family's 1533-position model. The record is from RNAcentral.
GACGAACGCUGGCGGCGUGCUUAACACAUGCAAGUCGAGCGGUAAGGCCCUUUCGGGGGUACACGAGCGGCGAACGGGUGAGUAGCACGUGGGUGACCUGCCCUCAGCUCUGGGAUAAGCCCGGGAAACUGGGUCUAAUACCGGAUAUGACUCCAUGACGCAUGUUGUGGGGUGGAAAGCCUUGUGCGGCUGAGGAUGGGCCCGCGGCCUAUCAGCUUGUUGGUGGGGUGAGGCCUACCAAGGCGACGACGGGUAGCCGGCCUGAGAGGCGACCGGCCACACUGGGACUGAGAUACGGCCCAGACUCCUACGGGAGGCAGCAGUGGGGAAUCUUGCGCAAUGGGCGAAAGCCUGACGCAGCGACGCCGCGUGAGGGAUGACGGCCUGGUUGUAA